RNAcentral lists this ribosomal RNA (518 nucleotides) under uncultured beta proteobacterium. RNAcentral describes it as "bacterial SSU rRNA". It matches the Rfam family "Bacterial small subunit ribosomal RNA", at positions 900 to 1422 of the family's 1533-position model. The record is from RNAcentral. Lineage: Bacteria; Pseudomonadati; Pseudomonadota; Betaproteobacteria.
CUUAAAGGAAUUGACGGGGACCCGCACAAGCGGUGGAUGAUGUGGUUUAAUUCGAUGCAACGCGAAAAACCUUACCUACCCUUGACAUGCCAGGAACUUGCCAGAGAUGGCUUGGUGCUCGAAAGAGAGCCUGGACACAGGUGCUGCAUGGCUGUCGUCAGCUCGUGUCGUGAGAUGUUGGGUUAAGUCCCGCAACGAGCGCAACCCUUGUCAUUAGUUGCUACGAAAGGGCACUCUAAUGAGACUGCCGGUGACAAACCGGAGGAAGGUGGGGAUGACGUCAAGUCCUCAUGGCCCUUAUGGGUAGGGCUACACACGUCAUACAAUGGCCGGUACAGAGGGUUGCCAACCCGCGAGGGGGAGCUAAUCCCAGAAAACCGGUCGUAGUCCGGAUCGUAGUCUGCAACUCGACUGCGUGAAGUCGGAAUCGCUAGUAAUCGCGGAUCAGCUUGCCGCGGUGAAUACGUUCCCGGGUCUUGUACACACCGCCCGUCACACCAUGGGAGCGGGUUCUGCCA